This 429-nucleotide ribosomal RNA is filed under the name Chloroflexota bacterium. RNAcentral describes it as "Chloroflexi bacterium partial 16S ribosomal RNA". It matches the Rfam family "Bacterial small subunit ribosomal RNA", at positions 355 to 776 of the family's 1533-position model. The record is from RNAcentral. Lineage: Bacteria; Bacillati; Chloroflexota.
UGGGGAAUAUUGCACAAUGGGCGCAAGCCUGAUGCAGCCAUGCCGCGUGUAUGAAGAAGGCCUUUGGGUUGUAAAGUACUUUCAGCGGGGAGGAAGGGAGUAAAGUUAAUACCUUUGCUCAUUGACGUUACCCGCAGAAGAAGCACCGGCUAACUCCGUGCCAGCAGACGCGGUAAUACGGAGGGUGCAAGCGUUAAUCGGAAUUACUGGGCGUAAAGCGCACGCAGGCGGUCUGUCAAGUCGGAUGUGAAAUCCCCGGGCUUAACCUGGGAACUGCAUUCGAAACUGGCAGGCUAGAGUCUUGUAGAGGGGGGUAGAAUUCCAGGUGUAGCGGUGAAAUGCGUAGAGAUCUGGAGGAAUACCGGUGGCGAAGGCGGCCCCCUGGACAAAGACUGCCGCUCAGGUGCGAAAGCGUGGGGGGCAAACAGG